RNAcentral lists this ribosomal RNA (484 nucleotides) under uncultured bacterium. Its description in RNAcentral is "partial 16S ribosomal RNA". It matches the Rfam family "Bacterial small subunit ribosomal RNA", at positions 28 to 523 of the family's 1533-position model. The record is from RNAcentral.
GACGAACGCUGGCGGCGUGCUUAACACAUGCAAGUCGAACGAUGAAGCCGGAGCUUGCUCUGGUGAAUUAGUGGCGAACGGGUGAGUAACACGUGAGUAACCUGCCCUUGACUCUGGGAUAACUGCGGGAAACCGUAGCUAAUACCGGAUACGACCCUCGGAGGCAUCUCCGGGGGGUGUAAAGAAUUUCGGUCAAGGAUGGACUCGCGGCCUAUCAGCUAGUUGGUGAGGUAAAGGCUCACCAAGGCGACGACGGGUAGCCGGCCUGAGAGGGUGACCGGCCACACUGGGACUGAGACACGGCCCAGACUCCUACGGGAGGCAGCAGUGGGGAAUAUUGCACAAUGGGCGCAAGCCUGAUGCAGCAACGCCGCGUGAGGGAUGACGGCCUUCGGGUUGUAAACCUCUUUUAGCAGGGAAGAAGCGAAAGUGACGGUACCUGCAGAAAAAGCACCGGCUAACUACGUGCCAGCCGCCGCAGUAA